This 763-nucleotide ribosomal RNA is filed under the name uncultured bacterium. RNAcentral's name for it is "bacterial SSU rRNA". It matches the Rfam family "Bacterial small subunit ribosomal RNA", at positions 58 to 834 of the family's 1533-position model. The record is from RNAcentral.
CAAGUCGAACGAGAGAUGAGGAGCUUGCUCUUCAAAUCGAGUGGCGAACGGGUGAGUAACGCGUGAGGAACCUGCCUCAAAGAGGGGGACAACAGUUGGAAACGACUGCUAAUACCGCAUAAGCCCACAGCUCGGCAUCGAGCAGAGGGAAAAGGAGUGAUCCGCUUUGAGAUGGCCUCGCGUCCGAUUAGCUAGUUGGUGAGGUAACGGCCCACCAAGGCAACGAUCGGUAGCCGGACUGAGAGGUUGAACGGCCACAUUGGGACUGAGACACGGCCCAGACUCCUACGGGAGGCAGCAGUGGGGAAUAUUGCACAAUGGGGGAAACCCUGAUGCAGCGACGCCGCGUGGAGGAAGAAGGUCUUCGGAUUGUAAACACCUGUUGUUGAGGAAGAUAAUGACGGUACUCAACAAGGAAGUGACGGCUAACUACGUGCCAGCAGCCGCGGUAAAACGUAGGUCACAAGCGUUGUCCGGAAUUACUGGGUGUAAAGGGAGCGCAGGCGGGAGAACAAGUUGGAAGUGAAAUCCAUGGGCUCAACCCAUGAACUGCUUUCAAAACUGUUUUUCUUGAGUAGUGCAGAGGUAGGCGGAAUUCCCGGUGUAGCGGUGGAAUGCGUAGAUAUCGGGAGGAACACCAGUGGCGAAGGCGGCCUACUGGGCACCAACUGACGCUGAGGCUCGAAAGUGUGGGUAGCAAACAGGAUUAGAUACCCUGGUAGUCCACACCGUAAGCGAUGAUUACUAGGUGUGGGAGGAUUGA